RNAcentral lists this transfer RNA (66 nucleotides) under Caryedes brasiliensis. RNAcentral describes it as "tRNA-Asn". Lineage: Eukaryota; Metazoa; Arthropoda; Insecta; Coleoptera; Chrysomelidae. The record is from RNAcentral.
UUAAUUGAAACCAAAUUAGAGGUAUAUCACUGUUAAUGAUAAAACUGAGAACAAUCUCCAAUUAAG